Molecule: long non-coding RNA, 1847 nt
Organism: Phasianus colchicus (ring-necked pheasant)
Lineage: Eukaryota; Metazoa; Chordata; Aves; Galliformes; Phasianidae
Source: RefSeq, a predicted model, not a curated record
CAUGUCUGGGGAUGAAGGCAAGAAGGGUCAGGCCAGGAAGGCUGACAAGCCCUUCUGCCUGUGCCUGCUCACUCAGCACUGCUGUGCUCUGGUUCAGCGCCGGUGCCUGUGUCCCUGGCUCACACGGGAGUGAAGAAGCCUUGGGCAGUUGUUGAAGGAAAGCAGCAGGGAGUUGUUGCUGCAUCCCAGGACCUGGUACAUCCCUUUUGGGUUGGGUACCCACAAUGGCAAGGACCCAAAUGCCACAGAUGAACCUGGCUGUUCCCAGGCUGGUGUUUGACCUCAGUUGUUCCAGAUUUCCUCCCUGCAGCUCUUGGCCCAGCCAGCACAAGGAAAAUGUGAUUACUGGAGCAGGCAGUGCAGUAACCAAGGAAACUAAACAAACAUCCCCUGCUCUGUCUGAGCACAGCCCAAACCCUCCACUCCUCGGGGUGGGGUGAAGGGAAUCAAGCAGCAGGCAGCGCCCAGCAUCCCCUCCCUGUCUGGCAGCAGCAGGGACAGGGACAGCAGGUGGCUGUCAGCAACGCUUAGUGGCACAGGACACAGACUGGAGGGAGGUGAUGGGCCUGGUGUGUUAUUCUGGGGAUAAACGUCACAUCUCAGAACUCUUUUAGGGCUUCUGUGCCCUCUGCAUGCCAUUCUCUGGGGCAUCCUUUGGCUGAACCACAUUCUGCAUGCAGCACAGAGCACUCAGGUCUGGUCAUCACACACUUUCUGGAAGCAGCUGUGGUCCUCAGCAAGGCAAUGCCAGGGCAGCAAUCCUGGCUGCCUGAAGGGGCCUUUGCUUUGCUGUGUCUGACCACUGGGCAACCAUACAGGUGUAGAACCCAGGCUGAUAGCCAUGAUGGUAGAAGCAGGGUUCAGGUUAAGCUUUCAUAGCCGCAGCCCAGUGCUGCUGCUUCAUAGGGCACAAGGGAGUUUUUUGCCUUGCCACCUGCAGUAAGGCUGAGCAAAGAGAAGGAAGGCAGGGACAAGGAAGGGACUGGCUGACCAUGGCACUAAUUACAGAGCUGAUCCUACACAGCUGUUGGAGCCAGCCCUGUCCUGUCUCUGCCAGGCCAAGUGCUGCCUGCCCAGCCCAGCUGUGCCCCAUCUGUAGCAAAUAGCCUGUGCAUCCUGGGAUGGGGGGAGUCUGUUGGGCUGCUGCAGGGGGCUGGGCUCAGGCUGUGCUGGUUUUAGACUCAGUAGGAAGAGGCAACCCCUCACCUGUCCACCUCAUUGCCUUAUUUCAAGCUCCCAGUUUUGAGGUAUGGACCAGCUCUCUGUGCAGCACCUUCCCAAAGGUACCCUCAUUUCAAAGUAAGAUGGAGGAUUUUUAAAUCCUCCUGCGGUACAAAUACAAAAUAAACCAAAUGCCAGCAGGUGCUGCCUGUAGUGCCAUGAGCUUGGCUGAUCCUUGCCAUCCACCUUCCCACUACCCCUUUCUUUCCCACUGCAUGACUGAUACGUGUGAUAAGGGCAUGAUGGGGUCAGCCAGGACAAGUGCUGGUGGUGACAUUCCUGUGGUGCACAGGGAAGGCAUGCCGGGAUUUCUCUUGUGGGAAGAAUUAUCCGGACCUGUUUUUUUUUUUUUUUUUUUUAUGAACUUGUUUUCGAGCUCUCGCUGGGGUGCUGAGCACGAGCUCUGAGCUGCUAUUAUGUGCAUAACACAGCAGCUGCACAGCUCAGCCCUGCCUGACCCAUGACCACGGUGAGAGUCGGGGAUGGAGCCUUCCCCGCCUCCCAGGGCUCUUCCGGGCACGCAGGGAGCAAACAGCCCCAUAGUGUAGCUGGUCCCCAGCAGUUCUGGCUGGAGACAUAAAGGAGAGCCAUGUGACGGCCGGUCAUGCUCCCACUGUCAGCGCGGG